AUUGAACGCUGGCGGCAGGCCUAACACAUCAAGUCGAACGGUAACAGGAAGCAGCUUGCUGCUUCGCUGACGAGUGGCGGACGGGUGAGUAAUGUCUGGGAAACUGCCUGAUGGAGGGGGAUAACUACUGGAAACGGUAGCUAAUACCGCAUAACGUCGCAAGACCAAAGAGGGGGACCUUAGGGCCUCUUGCCAUCGGAUGUGCCCAGAUGGGAUUAGCUAGUAGGUGGGGUAACGGCUCACCUAGGCGACGAUCCCUAGCUGGUCUGAGAGGAUGACCAGCCACACUGGAACUGAGACACGGUCCAGACUCCUACGGGAGGCAGCAGUGGGGAAUAUUGCACAAUGGGCGCAAGCCUGAUGCAGCCAUGCCGCGUGUAUGAAGAAGGCCUUCGGGUUGUAAAGUACUUUCAGCGGGGAGGAAGGGAGUAAAGUUAAUACCUUUGCUCAUUGACGUUACCCGCAGAAGAAGCACCGGCUAACUCCGU
Molecule: ribosomal RNA, 488 nt
Filed under: uncultured bacterium
Lineage: Bacteria
Description: partial 16S ribosomal RNA
Rfam family: Bacterial small subunit ribosomal RNA
Source: RNAcentral